GGCUUGUGUCUCAGUGGUAGAGCGCUCACCUGGCAUGCGUGAGGCACUGGAUUCAAUUCUCAGCACCA
RNAcentral lists this transfer RNA (68 nucleotides) under Marmota monax (woodchuck). RNAcentral's name for it is "tRNA.Ala". The record is from RNAcentral. Lineage: Eukaryota; Metazoa; Chordata; Mammalia; Rodentia; Sciuridae.